AAUUAAGGAAAAAAAGCUAUAAAAAAAAAAAAAAGGAAAAGUCCUGCAUGAAUGGAAAAAACUGAAGAAGUUGGAGUGCCACCUCAAAAAUGGAUGUUAAAUUAUGAAAAUAAUGAUUAGCAGAGAGAAGGAAGUGUAGCAAUCAUGUGGGUUCAGCAGGCAAGCUAAGAAAAAAAGAUCAUAUUCAGAAGUAAGGUGAGCUGGAUAAACCCAAGGAAUUAGAUUCACCCUAAUUAAUCUCAGACAGACAAGAGAAAACUGCUGCCUCUGCAUUCCAGGAGCUACAACUUCUACUAGAUGGCAAAAGACUGCCAUCAAUAAAUGAAGACUUAAAGGAAGCUCUUUCUGCUUGGACAAAGAGGGAAGGACAUUGAGUAGAUGAAGAUCCCAAAAGGGCAUGUGGAUUUUCUUUUUAUAAGAGCAAUGUGAGGAAAAAGCUUUGAAAGUAUCCUGAGAACACAUACCUGAAUGUGCAGAAAGUAAAGAGAAACUGCUGGGAUCAGUCUUCUGGGACGAUGAACUGCUAUUGACUGUAAGAGUUCACUGCUCUGUCUGGAAGAAUUCAGGUAAGCACUUGAGGACACUAUUUACAAACCAAGGAGGAUUCACAAUUACUUCUAGUUCCCAGCAUCUAACUACAUCUUUUCUCUUAGCUGCAUCAUCCAAUCCUGAUUAAAGCAAAUCCUACAAUAUGUGACACUUAU
Molecule: long non-coding RNA, 704 nt
Filed under: Taeniopygia guttata (zebra finch)
Lineage: Eukaryota; Metazoa; Chordata; Aves; Passeriformes; Estrildidae
Description: lncRNA (ENSTGUG00000022211.1)
Source: RNAcentral